CAAGAAACCUACUGGCAUGGCAUGCUCCCUAUAAUUACAGCUACCUCCGCCGCCGCCGCAAGUUUUUCGUGAGUCCGUUUAGUCGCACGGUAGCGCGCGCCAGGUCUCCCAUACCGCGCACUUUGGCAGCGUUGAACGCGCUGCUGAAGGAGUCCCCUCGCUGUGACAUAUUUGCUGACAAAUGGGCUGACCUCAUAGGUCAGAUCCUGCACUUUUGUGAAAAUUUGUAAUUUUGGUUUUUAAAA
Maniola jurtina (meadow brown) is the source of this 245-nucleotide long non-coding RNA. RefSeq lists it as uncharacterized. The transcript is spliced from 7 exons. Lineage: Eukaryota; Metazoa; Arthropoda; Insecta; Lepidoptera; Nymphalidae. The record is from RefSeq and is a predicted model, not a curated record.